GAUGAAGAACGUAGCGAAAUGCGAUACGUAAUGUGAAUUGCAGAAUUCAGUGAAUCAUCGAGUCUUUGAACGCACAUUGCGCCCGCUAGUAUUCUGGCGGGCAUGCCUGUCCGAGCGUCAUUUCAACCCUCAAGCCCCUCCGGGGGCCUGGCGUUGGGGAUCGGCCCCGCUCCGGCGGCCGGCCCCGAAAUGUAGUGGCGGUCUCGCCGCUGCCUCCUCUGCGUAGUAGAAACACCUCGCAUUGGGACGCGGCGGGCCCACGCCGUUAACCAGAUGAAUUUUUUCAAGGUUGACCUCGGAUCAGGUAGGAAUACCCGCUGAACUUAAGCAUAUCAAUAAGCGGAGGA
Molecule: unclassified non-coding RNA, 347 nt
Filed under: soil metagenome
Description: partial contains 5.8S ribosomal RNA, internal transcribed spacer 2, and large subunit ribosomal RNA
Rfam family: 5.8S ribosomal RNA (bases 1-120)
Source: RNAcentral